AGUGAACGCUGGCGGUAGGCCUAACACAUGCAAGUCGAACGGCAGCACAGUAAGAGCUUGCUCUUACGGGUGGCGAGUGGCGGACGGGUGAGGAAUAUAUCGGAAUCUACUUUUUCGUGGGGGAUAACGUAGGGAAACUUACGCUAAUACCGCAUACGACCUACGGGUGAAAGCAGGGGAUCUUCGGACCUUGCGCGAUUGAAUGAGCCGAUGUCGGAUUAGCUAGUUGGCGGGGUAAAGGCCCACCAAGGCGACGAUCCGUAGCUGGUCUGAGAGGAUGGUCAGCGACACUGGAAGUGAGACACGGUCCAGACUCCUACGGGAGGCAGCAGUGGGGAAUAUUGGACAAUGGGCGGAAGCCUGAUCCAGCCAGACCGCGUGGGUGAAGAAGGCCUUCGGGUUGGAAAGCCCUUUUGUUGGGAAAGAAAAGCAGCAGGUUAAUACCCCGCUGUUCUGACGGUACCCAAAGAAUAAGCACCGGCUAACUUCGUG
RNAcentral lists this ribosomal RNA (492 nucleotides) under uncultured bacterium. RNAcentral describes it as "partial 16S ribosomal RNA". It matches the Rfam family "Bacterial small subunit ribosomal RNA", at positions 29 to 507 of the family's 1533-position model. The record is from RNAcentral.